Molecule: ribosomal RNA, 247 nt
Filed under: uncultured bacterium
Lineage: Bacteria
Also listed under: 1 other name
Description: partial 16S ribosomal RNA
Rfam family: Bacterial small subunit ribosomal RNA
Source: RNAcentral
CACGCCCUAAACGAUGUCGACUAGUCGUUCGGAGCAGCAAUGCACUGAGUGACGCAGCUAACGCGUGAAGUCGACCGCCUGGGGAGUACGGCCGCAAGGUUAAAACUCAAAGGAAUUGACGGGGACCCGCACAAGCGGUGGAUGAUGUGGAUUAAUUCGAUGCAACGCGAAAAACCUUACCUACCCUUGACAUGUCUGGAACCUUGGUGAGAGCCGAGGGUGCCUUCGGGAGCCAGAACACAGGUGC